AUGGCCUAUAUCACUGUGCUGCCUAAGAAAGAUACCCCGCUUGCUUUGGGCGAUUACAGACCUAUCUCCUUGGUUCACAGUAUGCCCAAGUUGGUCUCUAAGGUCUUAACAAACAGGUUUCAACGCCGAAUUCCAUAUUUGGUGCACCCUUCGCAAUCGGGUUUUUUGAAAGGUCGUUCAAUCAUUGAAAACUUUGCUCUAGCCACUGAGCUGGUUCAGACUGCUCAUAAAAGAAAGCUGUCAGUUAUCACCUUAAAACUGGACUUUCAAAAAGCCUUUGACAGUGUGAGUUGGAGUUGCCUUUUGCAGAUCUUACAAGCAAGAGGCUUCCCGUAG
Molecule: ribosomal RNA, 336 nt
Filed under: Triticum aestivum (bread wheat)
Lineage: Eukaryota; Viridiplantae; Streptophyta; Magnoliopsida; Poales; Poaceae
Description: partial small subunit ribosomal RNA
Source: RNAcentral